This 492-nucleotide ribosomal RNA is filed under the name uncultured bacterium. RNAcentral's name for it is "partial 16S ribosomal RNA". It matches the Rfam family "Bacterial small subunit ribosomal RNA", at positions 29 to 507 of the family's 1533-position model. The record is from RNAcentral.
AGUGAACGCUGGCGGAAGGCCUAACACAUGCAAGUCGAACGGCAGCAGGCCUUGAGCUUGCUCUUACGGGCGGCGAGGGGCGGACGGCUUCGGAAUACAUCGAGAUGUACUUGUUCAUGGAGGAUAACGUAGGGAAAUUUACGCUAAUACCGCAUGCUACCUACGGGUGAAAGCAGAGGAUCUUCUGACCUCGCGCGUUUGAAUGAGCCGAUGUCGGAUUAGCUAGUUGGCGGGGUAAAGGCCCACCAAGGCGACGAUCCGUAGCUGGUCUGAGAGGAUGAUCAGCCACACUGGAACUGAGACACGGUCCAGACUCCUACGGGAGGCAGCAGUGGGGAAUAUUGGACAAUGGGCGCAAGCCUGAUCCAGCCAUACCGCGUGCGUGAAGAAGGCCUUCGGGUUGUAAAGCCCUUUUGUUGGGAAAGAAAAGCAGCAGGUUAAUACCCCGCUGUUCUGACGGUACCCAAAGAAUAAGCACCGGCUAACUUCGUG